Molecule: non-coding RNA, 160 nt
Organism: Chiloscyllium plagiosum (whitespotted bambooshark)
Lineage: Eukaryota; Metazoa; Chordata; Chondrichthyes; Orectolobiformes; Hemiscylliidae
Source: RefSeq, a predicted model, not a curated record
UUCCUCCCAGAGUCCAAAGAUGUGCAGGUUAGGUGAAUAGGCCGUGCUAAGUUGCCCGUAGUGUUCAGGGAUGAGUUGAUCAGGUGCAUUUGUCAAGGGAAAUGUCGAGUAAUAGGGAGGUGAAUGAGUGGAUUACUCUUCGGAGGGUCAGUGUGGACUU